ACUUAAAUUGAAGAGUUUGAUCAUGGCUCAGAUUGAACGCUGGCGGCAGGCCUAACACAUGCAAGUCGAGCGGCA
Molecule: ribosomal RNA, 75 nt
Filed under: Aeromonas veronii
Lineage: Bacteria; Pseudomonadati; Pseudomonadota; Gammaproteobacteria; Aeromonadales; Aeromonadaceae
Also listed under: 2 other names
Description: partial 16S ribosomal RNA
Rfam family: Bacterial small subunit ribosomal RNA
Source: RNAcentral